GCCUCAUCAAAACCAUAAGGGGAGGGAAACAUAAGGGUCAGACUGAGUCCAAACCAAAGGCCAGGUGGAACAGCUCUGUCUUGCAGGUCCUGCGGAAAGAUGUCAAGUCCCGCAGGGCCCUAGUCUCUUGAGACAGUGUGUUCCACCAAGUCGGGGCCAGUACUGAAAAGGCCCUGGCCCUAGUUGCAGCCAAUCUAACCACCUUGUGACCUGGGACCUCCAAAAUGUUGUAAUUUGUGGACCUUAAGGUCCUCCGCGGGGCAUACCAGGAAAGGUGGUCCCAUAUGGUUCUAGGGCCACAUAGGGCUUUAAAGGUCAAAACCAGCACCUUACUCUGUACUCCAGAGUAAGAGUACCCUGUACUCCACCGGGAGCCAGUGCAGUUGGUAAAGCAAUGGAUGAAUGUGAUCCCACAGCAAGGACCCCGUAAGGAGCCUCGCCGUAGCAUUCUGCACCCCCUGGAGUUUCUGGGUCAGCUUCAAGGGCAGCCCCGCGUAAAGCCAGUUACAAUAAUCAAGUAGUGGGAAGUUUCUGAUGUUUGAUAUGUUGCUAUGUUUUAUAUCUGUUGUAAGCUGCCCAGAAUGGCUGGGGAAACCCAGCCAAAUGGGCAGGGUAUAAAUAAUAACAUUAUUGUUAUUAUUAUAGGAAGUUGGAAUGAGGCAACGGGGCUGCCAUCGCCCCACCGUGUGAGGCUACGACUCUCUGGCUUAGUGGGCCCCCAGCCACCCCUCCAGCUGGCCAUGCCAAAUAAAAACAAGAAGGAGAAAGGGACCCUGUUCAGUCCUGAAUAGAUGGGGGCUUGGAGGAGACUCUGGGCAGGAGCAGGCCCUGCAGGGGGGUGUGGGGCUGUUGAGGUGCAAGCAGGCCUGCAAGGUACCGUAUUUUUCGCUCUAUAAGGCGCACCCGACCAUAAGACGCACCUAGUUUUUAGAGGAGGAAAACAAGAAAGCAACGUAAAGUCUCUUGAAUAAAGAGGGAGGAGCGCUCCUGCUGCGCUCAAGAGGCUUUGCGUUGCUUUCGCUGAAGCCUGUAUUCACUCCAUAAGACGCACACACAUUUCCCCUUACUUUUUAGGAGGGGGAAGUGUGUCUUAUAGAGCGAAUAAUACAGUAACUGGGGAGCAGGGAUGUUAUGGGGCUUCGAGGGGAGGCGAGGGAGUUAGCUGGGCUUGGGGGGGGUUGUCCGUAUCAUGAAAAACUUAAACAAAUGUGCAAAGAAAAAGAACUUGAAAAUUUAUCCAACAAAGAAGCAUAAAUCAAUGAACAAGAACUUAAUAGCUCUCUCCCUGCAGGACUCAGUUGGCACACAUGCUCCAUGAACCCUCCAUAACCUGUGUAUUGUGCCUGGUGGUGUUGGCAAGGGGUGGCCUGGCACAUUGGUUCUGUUGACCUUCCACACCCCGUUGCCUGGCGCGCCCCAGACGCCAAAAAAGGAUGCAACGUCACCAUGCUGUUUCUUCUCUCUUCCCUCCUCCCAGUUGACGUUGCCACCCUUCAGGUCAUGUUCGCAGACAUCUUUGUAGCACAGAGUUGGUCUGCCAACCGUCCUGGUGCCUGAAGCCUGUGGAGCACAUCCUUGGAGGUCUGCCAACUUCUGUGGACACGGCGACCAAAAUGUUUGAACAGGGGGGAGAGAUAGGGCUAAAAAUAUAGACCAAUAGGAAAGCCGGAGGCGGAGCCUACCUGUGUAUAAAAGGGCUUAGCCCGAGGUUUUGUUGGGUGUUGUUGGUGGGUGGUUGGUUGGUUUUAGUGGGUUGGCUGGUUGGGAAAGGCAGUUGGAGAAGCAGUUGGUAGGCAGUUGGUAAUAGAGAGACAGUUAGGGCAGUGGGUUCUUGAGUGAGGGGAGGUAGAAGAGAUGUUGUUGUUGUUGUUGUUGUUGUUGUUGUUGUUGUUGUUUAGUCGUUUAGUCAUGUCCGACUCUUCGUGACCCCAUGGACCAGAGCACGCCAGGCACUUCUGUCUUCUACUGCCUCCCGCAGUUUGGUCAAACUCAUGCUGGUAGCUUCGAGAACACUAUCCAACCAUCUCGUCCUCUGUCGCCCCCUUCUCCUUGUGCCCGCCAUCUUUCCCAGCAUCAGGGUCUUUUCCAGGGAGUCUUCUCUUCUCAUGAGGUGGCCAAAGUAUUGGAGCCUCAGCUUCAGGAUCCGUCCUUCCAGUGAGCACUCAGGGCUGAUUUCCUUCAGAAUGGAGAGGUUUGAUCUUCUUGCAGUCCAUGGGACUCUCAAGAGUCUCCUCCAGCACCAGAAUUCAAAAGCAUCCAUUCUUCGGCGAUCAGCCUUCUUUAUGGUCCAGCUCUCACUUCCAUACAUCACUACUGGGAAAACCAUAGCUUUUACUAUACAGACCUUUGUUGGCAAGAUGAUGUCUCUGCUUUUUAAGAUGCUGUCUAGGUUUGUCAUUGCUUUUCUCCCAAGAAGCAGGCGUCUUUUAAUUUCGUGGCUGCUGUCACCAUCAGCAGUGAUCAUGGAGCCCAAGAUAGUAAAAUCUCUCACUUCUUCUGGUAGAAGAGAUAGAGAGAGGAAAAUAAGACUAAGAAAAUAAAGAGCAACAACGUUUGGAAUGCCGUAAAAGUUUGUGUCUGAAAUAAAAUACACUCUUCUUUAUUAAUUGAGAACCUGAUUGAGGCUGAAGUGAUUUUACCGGGGAGGACCUGGUUGGUGGCAGCGGAUUAGUGGUGUACGGGUCAAUAGUCCGUGAGACGACCAGGGGCUCCGUACGAACGCCACACACAUCCUUGGAGGUCUGCCAACUUCUGUGGACACGGCGACCAAGUCAGCAUAGAUGUCGCCGAGACAGAGGCAGGGGCGAAGUGUGGGCAGUGCCAGGGGAGCCAUGGUGCCGGGCACACAAUUUUUGUGGGGGUGUGAACCAGGUGACCCUACGCAGGCAAUCCCACUGCAGUCCGGCCUGGUACAUAUCUCUGUCGGCCAGCCAGGCUCCCCCUGUUUUGCUCCGGUAGGGGUGGGGUCAUUCUGGCGGCAAGGAAUAGGCUGGCGCACCAGCGCAUUUGCAUCCUCCCCACCCACCCUGGGCGCUGAAAACUGACUCUACGCCGCUGGACCUGAAAUGCAAGCAAUGGAAAUAAAAUCAACAACCACCGCUUUGACCCAUGAUAACUGGAUCCCAGUAUAAUUCCUCUCCAGACCAUGCAGUGAUACCGAAUUGGGCAAAACAGCAUUACGUAAUGGCACCAUCAGGGCCUCGGCAGGCCGCUGCUGGUGGCACCUCCGCCUGUGCGUUGCUUGAACUCUCCCCUGCCGUCCAAAAUACAAACCUCUGAGGCUGUUCUUUGCCGCCUCCCCACCACCCAACCUUAAAAAUAAAAUAAAGAAGAAUCCUAAAAAUUAUUUUGGUUAGCAACUGGCGCUCGGGGCCAGGCCGCUAGCUGGCAUGUGGUCAUGAAUGACCCCUGCUGUGGCAGCCUGGCUUGCUGGAGCAGAGCAAACUCGCAGAUCUGAUAGCUGCCCCGAGCACUUGGCGCAAGCUGGGGAACUGCGCUAAAUAUAGGCUUCUUGGGAACAGGCUGCUAUGUGUGUGUGAGAGAGGGAGAGAGUAAAAAAAAAUAAAAUGCUGUUUCAGUUUGUGUCAUCAUUAUUACGAGCGAUGAUGAUGGGUUUAUUUCAUUAAACGGGGCUUCCACUGCCUCUUCGUCGCUCGCCUUGGAGAACGACCUUUCCGAGCAGGUUUUAGCUCUCCUGUUCAGAGGAUGUUUUGUGGCAUAUAAAAACUGUGCUUAAAAGGAGACAGUCAGGUUAAAUAAAGGCGGGGGCGAUUUGAGAGGAUCAGCUCCUCAUCUGGAUAGGUCAUUUGCCAAUUCACACCAAGGCCACAUCCGAACUAUCUGUUUAAAGCACUAAUUAUACCAUUCUAACAGUUAUGGAAGGGACGCGGGUGGCACUGUGGGUUAAACUAGGACUUGCCGAUCAGAAGGUCGGCGGUUCGAAUCCCCACGAUGGGGUGAGCUCCCGUUGCUCGGUCCCUGCUCCUGCCAACCUAGUAGUUCGAAAGCACGUCAAAGUUCAAGUAGAUAAAUAGGUACCACUCCGGCGGGAAGGUAAACGGCGUUUCCGUGCGCUGCUCUGGUUCUCCAGAAGCGGCUUAGUCAUGCUGGCCACAUGACCCGGAAGCUGUACGCCGACUCCCUCGGCCAAUAAAGCGAGAUGAGCGCCGCAACCCCAGAGUCAUCCUCGACUGGACCUAAUGGUCAGGGGUCCCUUUACCUUCACCUAACAGUCAUGGAAUCCUGGGAACUAUCAUUUGGUGAGGGUGCAGAGAGUUGUUCGGAGACCCCUAUUCCCCUCACAGGGCUACUGUUCCAAUAGCAGUUUAGGUAACUCCGUUGUAGUCUCAGGUAACUCUGGAAAUUGUAGAUCUGUGAGGGAAACAAGGGUUCUCCUCAGCACUCUUAAACUACAUUUCCAGGAUUUUUUUGGGGGGGGUGAGGUGAGCAUUGACUGUUUAAAUUGGUAUAAUACUGCCUCAAAAAUGUAUAGUGAAGAUGUGGCCUGAUAAGCUAUUUUUAAUUGUUGUGAGGGAUGGAAGUGAGAGCUGCUCAUAGAAACCAACAGAGAAGUCCAAGAUUUUAAUGUAUCAGGGAUUGGACCCCAGAAUGUCCACACACCUCCAAGGGCCACACCCUUCUCCCACCACAGACAGAAAACUGUUUCUGACCCCUGGUUCUUCUCAGGGAGAAUAACCUAGUGAUUGAUUCAUAAUGCUGUUUUAUAUAUAUAUAUAUAAAACAAAUCUGUCAGCAUCCAUACCUCCAACUAUAAACCUCCCAUGUGUACCCGUUGUAUUAUUUAACAUAUAUUAUAUAAAAUAAAUGUACUUUUUCAUAAAGUUAAUAGAUGCCACAAGUGCCCACCAAUAUAACUUUUAAAAGGUAAGCAUCUGGAACAGGCUUCCUUAUUACAAAACAAAGGUAUAGUAUAGCUGUUGCAUUCUACACAUUUAUUCACAAAAUGAAUAUGUUUCAAAACAGGGUUGUUGUUUUUUCUUUUCUUCCCCAAGGCUAAAUUUAAUGGAAAUUGGUGAUGUAAAUAUGUUUUGCUGCUUUGGGGACAAUUGGUCAAGGUUGGCUUUUUUUAAUAGUGGUGCAUAUGACCACUGAAAUAAUGAAUGAAAUUGCUGCAGUUGUGUUUCAUAACCUUAUAAAUACUUUGGAGCAUAAAUGCGGGUUUUGUUUUUCAGGAACAUAACUUUGUUCAAGCUUUUCACAAGAUCAGCAGCAACCCGUGACUUGCAGAAGCAGGAAAUGGUGUAAACCAAGCUGUGCUUUGUGACCCAAGGGUCGCAACUUUCAACCCAAAAUCUAUGCAGUUGCAGUCUUAAAGGAUUCAGAAGAGAAUGGAUCUCUCAGACUGUUGUGAUCUUACUUUGGAGGCCCCAGAAGAAAAAACUGCAACUGGUUAGGUUGCUUGUACAAUCUGGCGAAUCCUAGUUCUUCACCUUGUAGGACUUUUUAAAGAUUCUGACCAUCCUUGCUGCUUGCUUUUGACCUUUAAGUGAUAGGACAAGGAUAACUAACCCGCAGCCCAGCAGUUUGCAGAUGUUUUUAAGUGUGCAAAGGCUGGGAUAGGGCGCUGAGCUAGGAUUUGCUGAGAAGAGUGUUUUUCAGAGCUUGAACAGAGUAACAUGUGAUUGGUUUGGGCUUUGAGUGCUUCAUUAACAAAACGACAUUGACAAACUGGAGGGAAGAGUGCACGAUGGCGCGACUGAUCUCGGAGCCGCGGGGACUGAUGUUAUGAGAAAAGAUUAAAAGAGC
Molecule: non-coding RNA, 5766 nt
Organism: Podarcis lilfordi (Lilford's wall lizard)
Lineage: Eukaryota; Metazoa; Chordata; Lepidosauria; Squamata; Lacertidae
Source: the annotation of a GenBank genome assembly